UACGGAGGGAGCUAGCGUUGUUCGGAAUUACUGGGCGUAAAGGGCGCGUAGGCGGUGUGUCAAGUCAGGCGUGAAAGCCCCGGGCUCAACCUGGGAACCGCGCUUGAGACUGGCACGCUCGAGUUCGGGAGAGGAUGGUGGAAUUCCCAGUGUAGAGGUGAAAUUCGUAGAUAUUGGGAAGAACACCGAUGGCGAAGGCAGCCAUCUGGACCGACACUGACGCUGAGGCGCGAAAGCGUGGGGAGCAAACAGG
RNAcentral lists this ribosomal RNA (253 nucleotides) under uncultured bacterium. RNAcentral's name for it is "partial 16S ribosomal RNA". It matches the Rfam family "Bacterial small subunit ribosomal RNA", at positions 524 to 776 of the family's 1533-position model. The record is from RNAcentral.